GUAAACUUCAUUCUAUGUCCUUACUUAGCUCACAAAGAAGCAAGGGACACAUUCAUCAAACACUAACUUCAUGACAACAUGACAAAUUAGGUAGUGGACAAGAGUGCUCAGUGUCAGGGGUGGGCGUGCUGAGGAGGGAGUGAUGAGCUCUGCCUGCCUCCCAGAGGAGAUGGUAUUUGAGCCAGGCCUUCAGGAAUGCUGUGCACUUCUAGAACUUGGCAGAGGGUGAGGGGCUGCAGCCUAGGAGAGGGAACAAAGCAGGAAAGCACAGAGCAUGUGUGGGGAGCGACAGGUGGUAUGAAGUGACGGUAGUUGAACUCAAGGUUGCAAAAGCCAAGAGUAGGCAUAUGUCCUGUGCUCCACUAGUCCUAGCUGGAUCGUGGACAUAUUACCAUCAUUACAAAUAUCAAUAGUUUGUGAUUACUUCAAACAAUCUGAAGUUGAAGGACCCCAGAUAUCCUUCAAAACAGGACGCUGACAUAGUUUUAUGAAUGCAAACAGCCAAGGAGAGCAGAUGUUGAGUGGUUGCCAGAGUGAAAUGAGGAAGCCCUGCUGCCAGCUUCCCACCAAAAAGCAGGCUCCGGCCCUGAACGCAGGAGAGUUGCUAAAGAAGUUGUUCACAGAGGCGGGAGAGAGCAGGCUACUGGUUUCCUUCAAAAUGGAAUAGGAAACAGAAAACGUGAAUGAGCAGCAGCAGAGUCAUCAGGGAGAGAUGCAGACUCUCAGGACUUGCCCCAGACCUCCUGAAUCAGAGUCCAGCAUUGAACAAGUCCCCUAGGUGACUGGUCCACACAGUCUGCAGUUCCUAACCAGCUCCCAGACUACUAUCACACCAAAAAAAGAGGCUUCACUUGGAGUGCUGCCACUGGAUGGGGCCUGACUUGUUUAUCCGGAAAGAAGUGACUUCCCUGGGAAGAAGGUUGCAUUUGUGAAAGCUUGUGAGGCAUUUCAAGGCUGCAUUCAGGUACAGGUCUUUGAAGAGUUUGCAUUGCUCUGUGAGUUACCAGAGGACUGCCAUCUUUAAUCCAAUUCAGACAGCGAUUCACCAGGCUUUGCAUGUGCUCAGGCCUGUUGCUCCUUAUCAGAGGCCCACAUGGAGCUCUCAGUACAGCUGCAGCCCUGGAGAAUUUCCCUGUCUCCUCCUGUUCUCUCUCUCUCCUCCUCCUCCCGCUUCUCUUCCCUGCCUCUCCCCCACCCCUAUACAAACACACACAUACACACAGACACACAGACACACACACACACACACACACACACACCUACUCCUUAGCUCUUUAAUUUUCCUUUUAAGGCAUCAAAAUCAAUUUUGGGACUCUAUUUGGUACAAAGAGUUGAUAUGGAUUUGAUACGGAUAGAGUUGACUGAUCUCUACUCUGGGUUUGAAGAUGUUGCUGCAAAUGGAAAGGAAAUAAUCCCGGGCUAUUGUGACAGAUGACAUGGUGUAGAGGGAAGAGCGCAGGACCGAAGGUGGAGAAUCACUUGUUUAUGCAACACAUAUUUCCUGAACAUCAAAUACAAGGAUAAAGCCAUGAAGGAAACAGAGCCCUGUUUCUGCAGAACACACGUUCUGGUUGGAGAAGACAAGUAGCGAAUACACCAACAAAUAAGAGAAUAUUUGACGAUGUUGAGUGUUUUAUGAAGGGGAUAAAGAGUGACUGCAGGGCUCAGAAGGUAGCGAUUAUUUUAAGUAGGGAAGGUCUUUUGUAAGAAGGUGCUAUUUAAAUUGAGACUUUAAAGGUGUGCAACUUUGGAUAAAUUGGAAACAAGAAGGGAAGUGCAUUCUGUGGGAUCUAGUAAGAGCAGAGAGUGAUGACCAACUCCAGACCCCAAAGAGAAAGGAGAGUGAGGCUAUUGGCACUUGGAGGCAGAGAAAGCCAUGUGUAGAGGGUGGCCCGACUGAGCUAAAACCUUCAGUCUGUUGGUCUUGAGCUAUUUGAGGGUCUAUUAUGUGCAGGAUUAGGCUCGGCACUAUCGAGGAUCACAAAAGCGUGUUAGUUAUGGAGUCUUCCAGCAAUAGGCUUACAGUCAAGAAUGGGAAACAACACAUAUGCACGUAAUUUGAUUGAAAUGUAGGAAGUUUUAAGGAUGAUAGGAGGAGUUCAGAUAAAGACUAGAAAGUUCUCAGGUGCCAGAUUGCUUCCAGCCAACAGAUCAGAGGAACUGCCAUAGAGGAGGUGGCUGUGUGUGCCCUGGACCUCAAAGGAGAGAGAUGAUAUUCAGACGUGUAGCAGUGAUAGGCAGAAGCACAUUUUAAAUGGAGGGAAUGAAACAGGAUAAGCAAAAGACUGGUGAUUGAAAAACUCUGGUUGCCUGUGCAGAAAAGAGAAAUCUUAGUUUGACUGGAGCUUCUGGCACAUGAAAGGGAUUUAGAGUUUGCCGUUUCUGUGAAUCUGUCCAUCUUCACCCUCAUGCUGUUCUCCUUUCCUCUUUUAACCUGUAUCUUCUCUCUCUUUGUUUUGUUGACUUUCUCUUUUUUGUUUUCCGUUGUCCUUUUUUAUGAGUGGAGCAUUUCAGUGCAAGAGCAAAUGGGAGUGGAGUGGGGUUCUGUGGAAUGUCAGAAAUGCAUGCUCAACCUAGAUUUCCCAAGCUCUCACUCAGUCUUAUCCCAGGGAUCACUUGACAUGAUGGGAAAUGAUGGGAAAAAAAUAAACAAUGUGAUCCCAGAGCAAAACUUAUUUACUUUAUCUGUUUAACCCAGUUCUACCGCUUCUCUCGCCAUUUCCCAAGAACCAGGGGCAGAAAACAUGAGAAAGCAGAAGGGAGACAGAUUUUAGAGAACGUGAGUUUGUCGUUUUUCCUUCUAGGAUGAGAGAACAUGUCUGCCACCACCAGUUUCAGGGAACAACUGAUUCAUUUCACAGCCCCACCAAUGUAUACAACCUGGUUUGUUCUUGAGCCAGGUGCUUUCUCAUUGGUGACAGAGCAGCAGUACUUUCCAGCAUGCUGUACAAUUAUCCAGACUAGAGGCCCUUCCUCUGCAUGGAUUGGCCCUACUUAAG
RNAcentral lists this long non-coding RNA (2999 nucleotides) under Pan troglodytes (chimpanzee). RNAcentral describes it as "long non-coding RNA NONPTRT005633". Lineage: Eukaryota; Metazoa; Chordata; Mammalia; Primates; Hominidae. The record is from RNAcentral.